RNAcentral lists this ribosomal RNA (182 nucleotides) under Agaricostilbomycetes sp. TY-285. Its description in RNAcentral is "partial 18S ribosomal RNA". Lineage: Eukaryota; Fungi; Basidiomycota; Agaricostilbomycetes. The record is from RNAcentral.
UUUCCGUAGGUCGCAGGUCCGCCUACCAGAGCGAAGCUAGCUGCGAAGCGCAGCAAUACUGCCAAACUGCGGGGAACUCUCGAGAAGCGAUCGGUUCUUCGAGCCGAGCGCGAGACAAUCCGCACCUCUGACCUUCACAAGGCAGAGCUCAUCGACUAGAGGGCAGUGGGCGAUCGAGCGCG